ACAAAUAACGACUGGCUUAAUUACUAAUGAUAACAAGGUUCGAGGGUUUUCAGCACGUAUCGGUUAUUUCCUUCAGGUCUCCUGGCAGCCUGCCUGGGAGAUGGGACCAGCAUUUCUCCUGGAUAAGUGGACUACGAGGCAGAGAGGUGGGGGAACCUGUGUAGGUUUAGCCAGCUGAACUCAGAUCCAAACCCGGGCCUGAGUGUCACCACCUCCAGGCAGAUUGCCCUUGUCCCUGCCCCGUUGGCUCCCUCCAGGAUGGUGUGGGCCAGUGAGGAAGCUGGCGGUCACUCAGCGUGUCACUUUCUCCUGCUGGUAGAGAGGGGACCACACUCUUGGCACCUGUGGGAGGAGAGACUUGCCCCAGUUCUCUGAAUUCCUCACUCUGGCCCUGGACAGGCCCUUUGGGCCCAGGAGACAUUCUGCCUGCGAACUGGGAAGUGGGAUGGGGUAGGGCAGGGGCAUGGGCCUUGGAAUGCGGUGGUGCUGGGGUUUCAAACCCAGGCACUAACAUGCUGUGACUUCAGACAGAUCAUCUAUAUGCCUGGACUUCAUUUCCUCCAACUAAACCCCUCAAGACCAGCCAGGAAGAGGCCGUGCAGAGUGGGGGAGGCCUUACGGCCAAUGGCAGAUGCAGAAACUGAGGCCGAUGGGAAGAAUCAGCUUGAGGGAGGUCAGGAUGAUGGUGUCCCUGAGAGCGAAGGUCUCCUCUCUCCCUGGCAAGAGAACUUCCACUCUCCAGCCCUGCCUCGUGGCUGUAAGCCCAGGGCCACACAACUGGGAGCUGGCCCUCUCUGCUGGCUGCUGUGGCCCACUGGGCACAGUUCAGUGCUGGCUGUGACUUAGAAAAUGUGCCUGUGGCCCCCCGUGGGUGCUGGAAAUGGAAGUGGCAUGUUUUGGCGUGUCUUGGCCUCCGGGCUGAAAACUGUUUAUUUGGACUAUUAAGAAUACAACUUCAGCUGAACCACAAAAUCAGCGGAAACCUUUAUCUUGGGUGGCACGCUCUGGGCUUCCUCCCACUCUCCUGCGGGCUUGCAGAGUGGGGCCACAUUGGACAAGGUGCCUCUGGGAAUGAUUCCAGGGCCUCUUAGUCUCUGCUCCAGAGAGAUUAGUCAAGUGUAUGGGGGGCUACUCUUCUCGGUUGCCUCUGUGCUGAUGAUGGGAAGGGAGGUAUUAGGAGAGGACCCGAACUCUUUAAUCAGAGACUGCAGGGCCUUUGGGGUCUCUUGAGUUGAGGGUGGGGCUUCUUCUGUAAUUGGCCAAGACAUAUCUUCUGGGCCAUCUUCUGCUACCCCAAUGAUCACUGUCUCAAAUUAUCUCCUUGUCCUUCUCCAGCCAAGAAAUGGGUGAGUUCACAACACCCACUGCCCAGUCCAGCACACUGAGGGCUUGGCUCUGACACCACCCGAUUACCCCUUUAGUCCUUACCCCUCUGGGCCUUCCUGGGCCUCCAUAGUGGUAGUAGAUAAAUCAGGUGUGUGCUUAUAACCCUCCUUGAAGUUUAAGCUUCUUGCCACACAAAACCCAAGCCUCGGCUUCCUCAAGUAGCUCCAAGAGGAGCCAGCCCUCUUGGCCUUAGCUGGUCAUGGCUGGUCACUGUGUUGAGAAACGAUCUCAUGAUUGGGUGCUCGGAUGACCAAGAUCACUCUUUCCUCCAGCUGCUCUCCCUCACCCACUCCCUGCAUGGUUGCUGAACAGGCCCUGCUCUCACACCUUCCAGGGCUCUGCCAAGACACCCACUGGGCCCCUGCAAACACUGAUAAGACCCGUUUCUAGAACCUCAGAUUUUAAAAUUCUACAUCUUAUUUUGUUUCUGAACGAUUCCAGUUGGCAAUCUUGUCUCCCUAGCUACACACUAUAGACACUUAUUGGGGUAGGAACUGAGUUUUCUGCCAAUCACAAGCCCCCCACCCCCACCCCUGCCCCCAUGA
Molecule: long non-coding RNA, 1931 nt
Organism: Mustela lutreola (European mink)
Lineage: Eukaryota; Metazoa; Chordata; Mammalia; Carnivora; Mustelidae
Exons: 3
Source: RefSeq, a predicted model, not a curated record